UGGGGAAUUUUGGACAAUGGGCGAAAGCCUCAUCCAGCAAUGCCGCGUGUGUGAAGAAGGCCUUCGGGUUGUAAAGCACUUUUGUCCGGAAAGAAAUCCUUGGCUCUAAUACAGUCGGGGGAUGACGGUACCGGAAGAAUAAGCACCGGCUAACUACGUGCCAGCAGCCGCGGUAAUACGUAGGGUGCAAGCGUUAAUCGGAAUUACUGGGCGUAAAGCGUGCGCAGGCGGUUUGCUAAGACCGAUGUGAAAUCCCCGGGCUCAACCUGGGAACUGCAUUGGUGACUGGCAGGCUAGAGUAUGGCAGAGGGGGGUAGAAUUCCACGUGUAGCAGUGAAAAUGCGUAGAGAUGUGGAGGAAUACCGAUGGCGAAGGCAGCCCCCUGGGCCAAUACUGACGCUCAUGCACGAAAGCGUGGGGAGCAAACAGGAUUAGAUACCCUGGUAGUCCACGCCCUAAAACGAUGUCAACUAGUUGUUGGGGAUUCAUUUCCUUAGUAACGUAGCUAACGCGUGAAGUUGACCGCCUGGGGAGUACGGUCGCAAGAUUAAAACUCAAAUGAAUUGACGGGGUCAUAGCUGUUUCCU
This 587-nucleotide ribosomal RNA is filed under the name uncultured bacterium. Its description in RNAcentral is "partial 16S ribosomal RNA". It matches the Rfam family "Bacterial small subunit ribosomal RNA", at positions 355 to 1375 of the family's 1533-position model. The record is from RNAcentral.